CACCUAGUAUCGGGUCAUUGUUUCUGUUGUUCCUUUCUGUUUUUGCUGUCACCGCUUUUGUUAGUGUUUGUGCCUUCCUGCUUUGGAUAUUUUUUUUUCUAUUGCUUUCACUUUGUUUUUGCGUCUGCCAUGGGUUUUGGUUUGUUACUUUGGAUCCUUGUUUUUUUUCAGGAGUUUGUUCUGAGUUUAGUUUUCUCAGUGUUUUAAUACAGUUUGUCAAGUUCACCCUGUUCCUUCCUCCCCCCGGCCUGCCUUUUGGGGGUCCUCCACCACACCGUUCGUGACACAUUGGAAGUCAAAAGAAUGACUCUCCAUGGUAACCCGGCAUCAUUUUCCCAAACAGACACGCAAGGACUUGAAAUGCCAUGAAAUAGACAAGAACAGAGAGCGUAAAGGUGAACUCACCACAGUGCAGCAGAGGGGCCAGAACCACCAUAGGAGAGCCAAAAUGAGCAGCAGCAUCAGGAUGAGCAGAGUAAUGGCCAAAAUGGUCC
Molecule: long non-coding RNA, 494 nt
Organism: Hippocampus zosterae (dwarf seahorse)
Lineage: Eukaryota; Metazoa; Chordata; Actinopteri; Syngnathiformes; Syngnathidae
Exons: 3
Source: RefSeq, a predicted model, not a curated record